UCGGGAAUUUUGGGCAAUGGGCGCAAGCCUGACCCAGCAACGCCGCGUGAAGGAUGAAGUUUUUCGGAAUGUAAACUUCACAAGAAUGGGAAGAAUAAGUCCUGGCUAACAUCCAGGACGAUGACGGUACCAUUUGUAAGCUCCGGCUAACUCCGUGCCAGCAGCCGCGGUAAUACGGGGGGAGCAAGCGUUGUUCGGAUUUACUGGGCGUAAAGGGCGCGUAGGCGGCGCGACAAGUCACUUGUGAAAUCUCCGGGCUCAACUCGGAACGGCCAAGUGAUACUGUCGUGCUAGAGUGCGGAAGGGGCAACUGGAAUUCUCGGUGUAGCGGUGAAAUGCGUAGAUAUCGAGAGGAACACCUGCGGCGAAGGCGGGUUGCUGGGCCGACACUGACGCUGAGGCGCGAAAGCUAGGGGAGCGAACGG
RNAcentral lists this ribosomal RNA (425 nucleotides) under uncultured bacterium. RNAcentral's name for it is "bacterial SSU rRNA". It matches the Rfam family "Bacterial small subunit ribosomal RNA", at positions 355 to 775 of the family's 1533-position model. The record is from RNAcentral.